RNAcentral lists this ribosomal RNA (253 nucleotides) under uncultured bacterium. RNAcentral's name for it is "partial 16S ribosomal RNA". It matches the Rfam family "Bacterial small subunit ribosomal RNA", at positions 524 to 776 of the family's 1533-position model. The record is from RNAcentral.
UACAUGUGGGGCAAGCGUUGUUCGGAAUUACUGGGCAUAAAGGGUGCGUAGGCGGUUUGUUAAGUCACUGGUGAAAGUUUUCGGCCCAACCGGAAAAUUGCCUGUGAUACUGGCGAACUUGAGUGCGUGAGGGGUGGGGGGAACGAGCAGUGUAGCGGUGAAAUGCGUAGAUAUUAGGAAGAACACCAGUGGCGAAGGCGGCUCACUGGCCCGGUACUGACGCUGAGGCGCGAAAGCGUGGGGAGCAAACAGG